This 2251-nucleotide long non-coding RNA is filed under the name Medicago truncatula (barrel medic). Its description in RNAcentral is "long non-coding RNA (MTRU_LNC006674)". Lineage: Eukaryota; Viridiplantae; Streptophyta; Magnoliopsida; Fabales; Fabaceae. The record is from RNAcentral.
CCAUUCCAAAGAAAUAUUUUUAGUUAAUUUAAUAAUAAUAGUUUAAUCUGAAACAUUAUAUGCGUGUGUUAGAAUGUCUACUGUGCAUCACCGUACAUAAAAGGUAACAUUUGGUUUUAUCUCUCUCCUAACGAAUAAUUUUCUCUUAUCAAAAUAAUUUAUCUUAAUCACUUAUCUAUCAUUAAUUCUCAUCUAAAAAUAAAGUCAUCAAUUUUACCAAAAUGGAAAGUCACACUUAUCUAUCAUUACUUCUCAUCUAAAAUACAAUAAAGUCAUCAAUGUUACCAAAAUGGAAAGUCACUCAAGCAUUUUCCGUACAUAACAUUGAAUUUUUUACUAACAAAUGGUGCAAAACCGGUGCUAUAUUCAAAUCUUAUGGUGUUCAAACAAUUAAAAAUGGAGAUAAUUGAUGGAAAUUUAAAGAUUUGAGGGGGUUCAUAUGAACACCCUGAACAACACGUAUCUCUGCCCUGCUUGUAGAUGCUCUCAAUGCCCUGUUCCUUCGGAUUUAGACCGACCCAUUAAUAGAAUGGUAUUUUCGACUAAAAUUAAAAACUUUAAUGUAAGAUGACGUUAACUACAUUUAUUUUAACACAUUUUUCUUAAUCUUAACAUUCAAUCCUUUAUUAAGUGAAAUUCAUUUUAUGUUGAAUCAGUUUUUAAAGUGGCAUGAUGAUUAUGUAUUUCAUCCGAUAAAAUGGUAAAAAUUAGAAAAUGUGCGUUAUGACGAGUGUUUAUAACAUUACUCGUAAUUUAGUUUGUAUGUGCUGUACUGUCGGUGACGUGAGUGGGUGGGGAGUGGAGACUACUUUGGCUAGACUAGUAAUAGUAUACGUUCGUGUAUUUUUUAUUGGCUAAUUAAUACUUCAUUUUCACUCAAGUUAUUAUCUUACUUCCAAGCCAUGUUAAACUAAAUAUUUAGAAAAAACAGUUCAUAUUUGAGAAAGAGGGAAGGAGAAGGACCACUUUUCUCAUUUGAAUGUUAUUGUUUAAUUAAUUUUCCUCAAACGCUUUAAGCCUACGAUUACCCAAAUCAUGAUAACAACUUUUUUGUCGUGAUUUUCUAACUUGAAAAGAAGUCAAAUAUAGCCAGCCCAUGUUUUGGCUCAGUGGUUGGCAACUGGUGUAGUUAGUAGUUAGUUGUUUGGUCGGUCAACCAGGGCCUAAUUGUUCCAUGUUGACAAUUAACAAGCUUUUACGCUAUACAAUCAUCUUAUAUUUAGUGAUAACAUGUCAGCUACUCCAUUUUAGGCUUUUGUCAAAAAAAAAAAAAAAAACUACUCCAUUUUAGGCUAUAUACAUAUGAUUAUCUUAGAAUUUUAAUCUUUUCCUCGUUCCCAUCCAAAACUUCUAAAAUUAACUCUAACGUAAAUUAACUUCCAUUCGAUACCAAACGUGAAUUAACUUACGCUGAUUUUAGAUCUGUUAACCGAACAAAUGUGCAUUUUUCGAAAUAUCAAUCAUGAACUACCACCACAUUCCUUAUUUCAAUCAUUCAAUCAAAAUCAAAAUAAAAAAAUAAUUUCAAAAUAAUGCAAAAUCAAUUCCAAAAUAACACAAAUGUCGUAGAUAAAAAAUUUACAAUAAAAAAAAAAACACUAAAAAACAUUCAACCACUAAAAAUAUAUAAUUAUCUUAAUUAGUUGCAUUUCUUAGUAUAAGAUUAAAUUGGUAGAAUGACAUAUAAUUUGGGACGGUGAAAGUAUUGAGUUACAACUUUAAAUUCUGAUUUUAAUAGAGCAAUUUUUAUGUCAAAUAGAUGUUAGCCUGUAAUAAUUUCGACAAGCUCAAUUAAUGCAGUCAAUGAGAGUUGAUUUUUGUUCUUUCAAGAAAUAAAGUUAUUUUCUUCAACAUGAAGAUUUCGACAUGGUCUGGGACUUAGUAUUUUGAAGAGUUCAAGAGCUUCAAAGUUCGACAAAAGGGUAUUCAGAGGAAAGAUUGGUCGAAGCCAAGCAGUUGUUGUCGAAGGGAAAAACAUUCAAAUUCAGAAGCAGCAGUUUUUCUUAUUGAAGACGUGGUGGACAAGCAGUUUUCGAUGGAAGAAGUGCAGUUCGCGGCAGUUUAACUUUUUACAGUUACUUUUCUAUGUAUAAAUAAGAGUUUUUCAUAGGAAAAACAGGGUCGGAAAUCAUUUAUAGAAUUCUAGCACUCGAAGUACCAGUGUCUAGAGAAAAGAGUCAUACAGAAUGUAUGUAAUUUGAUUUGUCGAACCACCUUUACAUUAAUGUAAUGUAAUCUACCUUUUCUUUAA